AAUGAAAUGCUAAUGCCGGGGCGCGGAGCCGGGCGCUGCCCGCGCCAAUAAAACCCGGCGCGGCUCGGCGCGGGGGCCCUGCCCGCCACCAGCCCGCAGCCAUGCAGAGCGCGACCCCCGCCGCCCCGCCGGCUCUGCACCUCCUUACCUCCUACUUCAUCGACAGCAUCCUGGGCGCGGGCCGGCACGGUGAGGGGCGGCAGGGCUGGCGGCGGGCCCGGCGGGGUGCUCCCCGCUCUCGCCCCGGUAACUCCCCGCUUCUCUCCCCUCAGGCGAGGAGCGCCCGGCGGAGGAGCCGGUGGGGACGGGGCGGGGGGGGCGCCCGGCCGGCGCGGAGGCGGCAGCGGGCAGCGAGGCGCCGGGUCCGGCCAAGAGGAAGCAGCGGCGGUACCGCACCACGUUCAGCACCUUCCAGCUGGAGGAGCUGGAGCGCGCCUUCCGCAAGUCCCACUACCCCGACGUGUUCACCAGAGAGGAGCUGGCCGUGCGGCUGGACUUGACGGAAGCCCGAGUGCAGAUCCAGUUCAGAAUCCACCUUCAAUGGCCUCCACUGCAGAAGGGGCCAGAAGACCUGAGCAGCUGAGUACAUUCGGGUGUCGAGUGUUCAACCUCAGCAGCAUCCAUUUCCAAACAUCCUUGGUCUACAUCCUCUAUCUCUUGUUUUAGAGCUAAUGCUCCUCACUCCUCUCUGCUACCAUCAUGGGUCUGAAAGGUUCUGCUCACUGAAUGCUAAAGAAUAAAUGUGAAGAGUCACGUUUCUGAUCUGUAGAUUCAAUUGACUAAAGUCUUUAAAAUAUGUUUAAUGGGCUAAAAUGACAACCAGUCAGGCUUGAAGAGGCAACAUUCUCAACAGCUUAAUACAUAAAACCAGUACUAACUAAAGCCCCUUUAGGAACAGCUUGAUACUCUGGUCUAAUAGUGCUUACUAGAUUUUCUAGUUUAGUAUUAGCUUUCACUGCAAUUCAGAUAAUCACUUUCCUGUAACCAUAUGCUGUUUGCAUUCAUGGUAGAUAACAAAAGCUUCUCAUUUUACUUUUGAAUGCUCUAUAUAAAAAUGUCCAGCUAUCACAAUAAAAAGCACACACCAUA
Molecule: long non-coding RNA, 1089 nt
Filed under: Strigops habroptila (Kakapo)
Lineage: Eukaryota; Metazoa; Chordata; Aves; Psittaciformes; Psittacidae
Description: lncRNA (ENSSHBG00005014834.1)
Source: RNAcentral